Molecule: transfer RNA, 71 nt
Filed under: Loxodonta africana (African savanna elephant)
Lineage: Eukaryota; Metazoa; Chordata; Mammalia; Proboscidea; Elephantidae
Rfam family: tRNA
About the family: Transfer RNA (tRNA) molecules are approximately 80 nucleotides in length.
Source: Rfam by way of RNAcentral
GCAUUGGUGGUUCAGUGGUAGAAUUCUUGCCCUCCAAACAGGAGAACUGGGUUUGAUUCCUGGCCAAUGCA